Molecule: long non-coding RNA, 212 nt
Filed under: Elaeis guineensis (African oil palm)
Lineage: Eukaryota; Viridiplantae; Streptophyta; Magnoliopsida; Arecales; Arecaceae
Description: long non-coding RNA (EGUI_LNC003400)
Source: RNAcentral
AUCCGAUUGCAGGCUGAGAUCAAAUCUCACCAUCGACAACUUUCUUUGUUCGAAGUGAUAAAGUUACUUUAGACUCAAAAAUAGGGGGGGGGGGGCAAGUGUUGUGAAGGAAACUUACCACCCAACCUUAACCUUCCCUCUUUCAGAUUAUAACCGAUCACUUAUCUUGGAUUCAGUGCCGAUGACUUUUUAAAAGGACAAAUGAUCCCCUC